CAGCCGCCGCGGUAACACCAGCUCUUCAAGUGAUCGGGAUGAUUAUUGGGUUUAAAGCGUCCGUAGCCGGAUCUGUUAGUCCUUGCUUAAAUACCGCAACUUCAUUGUGGAACCGGUAAGGAUACUGCAGUUCUAGGGAAUGGGAGACGCUCGACGUACUUGCAGGGGAGCGGUGAAAUGUUUUGAUCUUGCAGGGACGAACUGUGGCGAAGGCUUCGAGCGAGAACAUGUUCGACGGUGAGUGGACGAAAGCGUAGGGAGCAAAGAGGAUUAGAGACCCUCGUAGUCUACGCUGUAAACGAUACCCGCUUAAUGUUUCAACAAUCUUGAAUUGUUGAAGUGUUGUAGGGAAACCGGUAAGCGGGUCACCUGGGAAGUACGAUUGCAUGAUUGAAACUUAAAGGAAUUGACGGGAAUCGACUCCAAAGAGUGAAGCUUGCGGCUUAAUUGGACUCAACACCCGAAAUCUUAGCAGACGCUGCUUAUUAUGAAGGACAGAUUGAUUAUCUUUCCAGAAGAAAGCAAGGGUGGUGCAUGGCC
This 540-nucleotide ribosomal RNA is filed under the name uncultured archaeon. RNAcentral's name for it is "bacterial SSU rRNA". It matches the Rfam family "Archaeal small subunit ribosomal RNA", at positions 459 to 999 of the family's 1478-position model. The record is from RNAcentral.